Molecule: long non-coding RNA, 1547 nt
Filed under: Heterocephalus glaber (naked mole-rat)
Lineage: Eukaryota; Metazoa; Chordata; Mammalia; Rodentia; Bathyergidae
Description: lncRNA (ENSHGLG00000046921.1)
Source: RNAcentral
CCCGCUUCUUGCCUGGCCCAGGGGCUCCGCAGCAUCCGCUGCUUCACAGCUUCCCCUGCUGGGCGUGGUGGCGUGGUGCAAGCCUGUAAUCCCAGCUCUCGGGAGGCUGAGGCAGGAGGAUCCCUUUGGGGGACAAAAGUGCUCCGACGUUGACUAGUGCUGGCUGCACACUGGAAAUGCACCAGCAACACUGCCUUCUACCCUGGCAGCGGGGAGCCGUGAGGCGUGAGAAUUACAUGUAAAUCCAUGGUGAUGGGAGCAGCCGGGAAACCUGGGCAGGUGGAAUGCGUCAGCCUGAGGAGCUCCUCUGAGGCUCUAGGUGGCAGGGAGCAGGGAGGAGGCUUUCCUCCUGCCAGCGCUGGUCUCCCAGGACUCCGCUGCCUCCUUCCUCCUGCUGACCUGAGACUUUGUCCCUCUGCUGGCCUUGGCUCCGCCGCCCCUGGGCGCACACACUGCCCUCUGCCUCACCCGGAGCGCCGCCCUCCGAUGGACUGACCGGCGGCAGAGAUCCUGGGUGUUGGGGGUUGAACAGGGAAGAAAACAGACAAAAUCUGUGUCCAGAUGAACUACCAUUCCAGUGAGGAGAAAGGAAAGAAACAAAGAAAUAGCUUGCACUCGGAGUGGUGGUGCACAGCUGUGAUCCCACCGUUUUGGAAGGCUGAGGCAGGAGAAUGAUGAAACGAGUGACUGCAAGGAAGGUGAGUGGAGAUGCCGCGCCCUCUCCCAUCUGGGCUGUCUGAGGGCCUGGGAGAGGGGCUCUUCCUGCACUGGGGGGCAGGUGCCCCUGAAAACUGCACAGUGUUUUCAUGUACCCUGCUACCCGUGAGCCCUCCUCUCCCCGGAAGUGACCGGGUAAGUCCCGAGUAACAGGGUUAUGGAGACCAGGCAGGAAGGGCCCAGCGCCUGUCUGUGGCCGGGUCCGCAGUGGGGCUGCCUGCGAGGGCUGAGGACUCCGCUCCUCCUGAGAACCCAGGGCCCGAUGAUCUGACGGAGGCGGCGACGGGGCGACGGGGCAUGGGCGCCCCUGCAGGUACAGAGGAGCAGAGGCCCAGAGUUCUGACUGCGGAGACCGGAACAAACCAACUGCUCCCGGACCUGAGCCUCUACCCGGGGUUCAGAGCGGGGUGAGCCCGAGCUCCUCAGCUGCGGGCUGCGUCUGGUGGUGACGCUCGUUUUAGUCCCUGUGCCGCCGCCUACGGCUUUUUACCUCUCCCGUCGGCGCCUCUGCCCGCACCGAGCACUCAUCUCAGUCAGUUUGGGAAACCCACAGCUAACUUCAGCCCAAACGAGCCCCAAACCAGCGUCACUGCAGAGCUGCAUGGAAAGGGGAGGGACCCGGUGCCGAGACCGAAGACCCUGAGAGGCAGCAGGAAGAAGGCGGCGUUAAAGGACAUCGGGGGUCACUCGUGCUCUGCAAGCCUGCCCUGUGCACUGCGUGGUGACAGAGCUGCUUUGCCACGUGGAGACCAAGCACCCGUGUUGAAACACAGGCUUUCUUUUCAGAAGAAAAACGAACCGCGAACACAAGGAACAGAAGCAGUUCCUGG